This 761-nucleotide ribosomal RNA is filed under the name metagenome. Its description in RNAcentral is "bacterial SSU rRNA". It matches the Rfam family "Bacterial small subunit ribosomal RNA", at positions 762 to 1520 of the family's 1533-position model. The record is from RNAcentral.
UGGGGAGCGAACAGGAUUAGAUACCCUGGUAGUCCACGCCGUAAACGGUGGAUGCUGGAUGUGGGGACCAUUCCACGGUCUCCGUGUCGGAGCCAACGCGUUAAGCAUCCCGCCUGGGGAGUACGGCCGCAAGGCUAAAACUCAAAGAAAUUGACGGGGGCCCGCACAAGCGGCGGAGCAUGCGGAUUAAUUCGAUGCAACGCGAAGAACCUUACCUGGGCUUGACAUGUUCCCGACAGCCSYAGAGAURSGGYYUCCCUUCGGGGCGGGUUCACAGGUGGUGCAUGGUCGUCGUCAGCUCGUGUCGUGAGAUGUUGGGUUAAGUCCCGCAACGAGCGCAACCCUCGCCCUGUGUUGCCAGCACGUCRUGGUGGGAACUCACGGGGGACCGCCGGGGUCAACUCGGAGGAAGGUGGGGAUGACGUCAGAUCAUCAUGCCCCUUACGUCCAGGGCUUCACGCAUGCUACAAUGGCCGGUACAACGGGAUGCGACACCGCGAGGUGGAGCGGAUCCCUUAAAACCGGUCUCAGUUCGGAUUGGAGUCUGCAACCCGACUCCAUGAAGGCGGAGUCGCUAGUAAUCGCGGAUCAGCAACGCCGCGGUGAAUGCGUUCCCGGGCCUUGUACACACCGCCCGUCAAGUCAUGAAAGUGGGUAGCACCCGAAGCCGGUGGCCCAACCUUUUGGGGGGAGCCGUCUAAGGUGAGACUCGUGAUUGGGACUAAGUCGUAACAAGGUAGCCGUACCGGAAGGUGCGGCUG